AACGAGACCUUAACCUGCUAUUUAGUCGCUCGGUCUCCGUCCGUGCGCACUUCAUAGAGGGACUCUGCGGCGUCAAGCUGCGGUGAGGUUUAAGGCAAUAACAGGUCUGUGAUGCCCUUAGAUGUCCUGGGCUGCACGCGCGCUACACUGAUGCUUGCCUCGUGUUUACCCUCGGCCGAUAGGCCUGGUAACCCCUAGUCUGCAUCGUGUUUGGGAUUGAUCUUUGCAAUUCUAGAUCAUGAACGAGGAAUGCCUAGUAUGCGCAAGUCAUCAGCUUGUGCAGAUUACGUCCCUGCCCUUUGUACACA
This 308-nucleotide ribosomal RNA is filed under the name Babesia bovis. RNAcentral's name for it is "SSU rRNA". It matches the Rfam family "Eukaryotic small subunit ribosomal RNA", at positions 1334 to 1668 of the family's 1831-position model. Lineage: Eukaryota; Apicomplexa; Aconoidasida; Piroplasmida; Babesiidae. The record is from RNAcentral.